GAUGAAGAACGUAGCGAAAUGCGAUAAGUAAUGUGAAUUGCAGAAUUCAGUGAAUCAUCGAAUCUUUGAACGCACAUUGCGCCCCUUGGUAUUCCGAGGGGCAUGCCUGUUCGAGCGUCAUUGCUGCCCAUCAAGCACGGCUUGUGUGUUGGGUCGUCGUCCCCUCUCCGGGGGGGACGGGCCCCAAAGGCAGCGGCGGCACCGCGUCCGAUCCUCGAGCGUAUGGGGCUUUGUCACCCGCUCUGUAGGCCCGGCCGGCGCUUGCCGAACGCAAAACAACCAUUUUUUCCAGGUUGACCUCGGAUCAGGUAGGGAUACCCGCUGAACUUAAGCAUAUCAUAAGCGGAGGA
Molecule: unclassified non-coding RNA, 350 nt
Filed under: soil metagenome
Description: partial contains 5.8S ribosomal RNA, internal transcribed spacer 2, and large subunit ribosomal RNA
Rfam family: 5.8S ribosomal RNA (bases 1-120)
Source: RNAcentral